RNAcentral lists this ribosomal RNA (253 nucleotides) under uncultured bacterium. RNAcentral's name for it is "partial 16S ribosomal RNA". It matches the Rfam family "Bacterial small subunit ribosomal RNA", at positions 524 to 776 of the family's 1533-position model. The record is from RNAcentral.
UACGAAGGGGGCUAGCGUUGCUCGGAAUCACUGGGCGUAAAGGGUGCGUAGGCGGGUUCUUAAGUCAGAGGUGAAAUCCUGGAGCUCAACUCCAGAACUGCCUUUGAUACUGAGAGUCUUGAGUACGGGAGAGGUGAGUGGAACUGCGAGUGUAGAGGUGAAAUUCGUAGAUAUUCGCAAGAACACCAGUGGCGAAGGCGGCUCACUGGCCCGUUACUGACGCUGAGGCACGAAAGCGUGGGGAGCAAACAGG